This 5440-nucleotide long non-coding RNA is filed under the name Sus scrofa (pig). RNAcentral describes it as "lncRNA (ENSSSCG00015004320.1)". Lineage: Eukaryota; Metazoa; Chordata; Mammalia; Artiodactyla; Suidae. The record is from RNAcentral.
UUUCUACUGUGUUCUGCCUGUGCUUUUUAUGUGUUUUAGGAAUCUCCCGUGUUUCGUUUGAUUUUGCCCUUAAAGUUUUUGUACGCGCUACGACUUUAUUUUUACAUGCAGUUUAAGAGCAAGAUCCCCAGAGUCCCAGAAGGUUGCCUGCCUAGAAGCUGAUCACCGAACUCUCCAUCACCUUCAAAAGACUGACUCCCUGGCACCCCCUACUGAUCUUCUCUCUUCCUUGUUGAGUGACUGCCUUUACAUUAGCCCUUCAUUACACUACCUGUUUUAAAUAAAGGAUGUUUAUUUACUUUCAAAUUGUCACUUAUUAGUUAUAUAAAGUUAUUUCUCUCAUUCAGGUAAUCAUAUCUUCUUUUUUGAUACUCUCAUUUCCUUCAUUUUUUUAAAGUUUUAUUGAAGUAUAGUUGAUUUACAAAAAUGUGAUUUCUGCCAUACAAUAAAGUGAUUCAGUUAUACAUGUACACACAUCCGUUCCUUCACAGAUUCUUUUCCCACACAGAUGAUCACAGACUCCUGGGUAGAGUUCCCUGUCCUAUACAGCACGUCCCCAUUGGCCAAGUAUUCCAUAUACCACAGUGCGCAUCUACCAAUCCCAAGGUGAUCAUAUUUUCUACAUUUGCAUACUGAUCGGGAGUUCUGGGUGGGUGGAAUGCAUCACAACUUUUUCCAAUUAAAAUUAAUUGAAAAAUAUUUUUAUUUAAUGGCUUUUCACUUAGUGACAAGGUUUUUAGAAACAAAUUAAAAUCAUUAAAUGAGAGGAGUUCCCAUUGUGGCUCAGCAGGUUGAAAAUCUGACUAGUAUCCAUGAGGAUGCAGGUUUGGUCCCUGGCCUCGCUCAGCGGGUUAAGAAUCUGGUGCUGCUGCAAGCUGCGGCAUAGGUCACAGGUAUGGCUCGGAUCCUGCAUUGCUGUGGCUGUGGUGUAGACCGGCAGCUGCAGCUGAUUCGACCCCUAGCCUGGGGACCUCCAAAUGCCACAGGUGAGCCCUAAAAAUUUUUUUUAAAAAAUCAUUAAAUGAGACACAGGUGUUUCCGGUUUCGCUUCUAGUGCUCCUUUUUUGCAAAUAUCCAUUUCCAAUUAAAAUAAUAUCAACAACCUGGUUCUUAUUUGUUGUUUUUUACUGUUUCUGUUUUUUUUUUCUUUUUUUUUAGUGAAAAUUACCCCUUGAUUCUUCUUAACAUUGUUGCUUUUUUUUGUAGGUAGGUAGGUCUCACUUGAAAAACUCCUGCUUACCUGCGCCAGAGGUUCCACCUUUAAAUUGUUUUUCCCUUGCUCGGGGGAUCAAAGUAGCAGGGCAGCAAUAACAGGGCUAACCAUGUCCUUCUGGAUUGUCAGCAGAUUCAAUUUUCUCCCAGCCCAGCCCUCAGCUAGGGUGAGUGACAAGAGAGCCAGGCCAAAACAGGAGCCCAGACUAGGUGGAAUGUUUGAGCUUUUAAUGACUGACAGUGGAAGUCCAGUUGUAUGAAGGGAAGUGGCAGAGAAAGAGAAAGAAAAUUCUGUUGCUGUGGAACAAGGAUGGAGGGUGAGGAAAAGCCUUUGGAAGAGAAUACAUACGGAUGUGCAUGCGAGUGUGCACAUGCACACACACACACACCCCCCACACACCCACCAUACACAAGAAAUCACUAAAGGGAUCCAAGAGAUGGAAAACAAUGUCUCCCAUUCAGUCUCUUCUACCCUAAUUAAGGCGUGGUGCUGACAAAUGUUUGCUAGGGCAGAAUCUUAGUGUCAAGUUCCCACCCAUGCCCCUGAGAUAGUAUGGAAAUUAAUCUUGAUCUCCCUUAUUUCUGGGAUAAAUUUUCAUAGAUUUUUUUCAUCUCAUUGGAUCCCUAAACCAAUUCGCUUGACCACUAAAUCCAUUAAAAAAAAAAAAAAGGUCAGUAUGCUUCUUCAAAUCCCAAAAUGAUUCAUAAUAACUCUAAUGUAUUCAUUUUGCAAAUAACCUUUAUUUUACAUGGAAUCUGACUCUUAUUCAAACAGUUCUGAGAGAAGACAUAUGACAUUCUCUCGAACUUGAUCAGUGUGACAUGAAGGCUGGAUGGGUUUUCUUUUGGAUUCUGACAUGACAGUCACAGAAUAACAAAACCCAAACCGGUGUUAGUAAAGGACAGAUCCUCUCAGAGCUCAUCCUGCCUGGAAAUAACUAUUAAUAGCAAAGAAUUAACCUCUAUAAUGGAGAAGUCUGCACUAUUAGUGGUGGCAUUAAUGUGGUUUAUGCUUGACUAAAAUCUAAUAGAAGAGUUUGUCAAUAACACAGACACGUCAAAAUCACUACAUCACUAAAACAGCUAACGAGAAGAGUCCAUUUUUCCAGCUUUGUAUUGUGAAAACUUUCAAACAUAUAGAAUAAUAACAAGAAUAAAUCUAAUGAGUAAUUGUUAAUUUACCUACCACCUAGAUUCAACAAUUAUUUAUAUUAUAUAUCUAUAAUUAAUAUUAUUUAUAUUACAUUCUUCCAUAUUUGCUUUACCUACAAAUAUGUGGGUAUAUGAAUAUAUAUAUAUAUUUUUUUUUUCUUUUGCUACUGGAUCAUUUGAAAGUAAAUUGAAGACGCCAUAACACUUUACCUGUAAAUCCUUCAGUAUGCCACUUCUAAAAAUAAAGACACUCUCCUGCAUAAACAUAAUUCUACCAUCACACCUAAGAAAACCAACAAUAAUUCCGAUAAUAUCACCUACCAUCCAGUGCAUAUUUAAUUUCCCUAUCUUACCCGGAAUGUCUUUUAAAGCUGUUUGUUGGUUGGUUGGCUUUUUAACAAGGAUGGAAUCAAGGUUCUCACAGUGCAUUUGUUCCUUUAAUCUAUUCCAGAACAGUCCACCCAUCUUUAUGUUCUCCUCGUGACAAUGACUUUUUGAAGAAACUUGGUUUUUGGUAGACUGUUUUACAUCCUAGGUUUGAAUGACUGUUUCCUCAGAGCACUGUUUGUUUCUCUGUUCCCUUUAAUUACUAUAAACUGGAAAUGAGGUCUAAAUCUCAGUUAGGUUCAGAUUAAAUAUUUGGGGCAAGAGUACUUAUAGGAAAUGCUAGAUCUUCAGACUGCAUCACAUGGAGACACUUUUAAGGUUAGGUUGUCCCACCAUUCAUGAUACUGCAUUCGACACACUGAUUAUAAAGGUAGGUCCUCCCUUUGCAACUAGCAAUUAACCUAUGGCCUAUCCUUUGGCACCAUGUGAAUAUAUCAUGCCCCCCAAACCUCUCAUCUAACAGUUUUCUCAUCUUUGUACCAUUCUUCUCUAAAUCAAGACUUUCACUGGAGGCUACAGAAUGGUGAUUUCCUAAUCCCAUCAUUUCUACCUUUAGAUAUAAGUUUUUUGUAUUUUUGUUUUUAUGGAAAGAAGAGCUUUUCUCAACAACCAAGAAUAAAUAUAAUUCUUCCUAAAAAGCUUAUAGUAAACCCUUCAUUUUCGUUGUUUUGUUUUAUUUUCAAUCACUACAUCUUAGAAUAAAUAGUUGAUUAACAACCAAUAUUCCAAUAUUGUCAAAUGACUCCUAGGAUUCAUUGUUUUUAUUCAGUCAAUGUUUUAAACUUAAUUAUAAUAAAUUAGUCUUUUGAUGCUCAAACUGCCACAAAUUUGGGGCAAUGGAAGCUGCACUGAGUUGGCACCUGAGUUCUCUGUCUUGCCCUUGUUAGUCUACUGAGUCUUCUUCAUCUUCCAGCAUUAUCUGUCCAUUGUUCAUAUUGUUGCCUGUCCCAGAUUUGGAAUUAGCCAUUUCUCUGAGCCCUGGUUCCUUUGAGUGAGCAAUGAUAUUUAGAAAACAAAAGUAAUUAUUAGAUGUGCUCAUUGCUACUGGAAUACUACUGUUUCUAAACGGUCUAGUGAAUUAGAAACCACAAAUUCAUAUUGAUGUAUUUCAGUUCAAAUUGAAAUUACAGGAUUUUUCUUAAUGUCUUCAAUUUUAUAUUUAUAUUUGAACACCUUUUUUUAAUAGUUAUUUCCCCAAUACAAUUUUUUUUUCCUACUGUACAGCAUGGUGACCCAGUUACACAUACAUGUAUACAUUCUAUUUUCGCACAAUAUCAUGCUCCAUCAUAAGUGACUAGACAUAGUUCCUAGUGCUACACAGCAAAGGAAAUUUGUUUUUUGUAGCUGUUUUUGAUCACACAUCCAACUAACGAAGAGUCAGAGCAUUCUGCUCAAAAGUCACUUGGGAUACCCUUCCUGUAUGAUUAUAAUUCUGAUAUAGAAUCAGACUCAUUUAUUUCCAUUCGUUUACAUUUGGUGUUUUUUAAUCCUUUGAAUUAAUUUUGUCUUUUGAAUAUGUGAAAUAGUCAUAUGAUCAAAAAUCAAAACUAUAUAAAAAAUUAUACUCAAGGGGUCUGGUAUUCAUUCCUCUCUAGCCAUAAAGGUAGCCAUUUUUAUCAAAACUGACUUCUCCUUUCAGUGUUUCUCACAAAUAAGCAAAGCACACAUAAAUUUUUUUGUCUUUCCCAUUCUUUUCUGCAGCUGUACAGUACUCCAUUGUGUCAUGGUACUAUAAUUUAUUCAACCAGUGUCAUAAUGAUGGUUCCUAUUUUUCAAGCCCAGAAAAAUUGUAGCCUAUGCUAAAAUAGAAAAUAUACACCAAUAUUUAUAAUUUCCCUUUCUGAUGUUAUAACAUCUGUACUAGUAUUAUAUUUUUAUAAAUAGCAGUCUUUUCGGUUAGACUCUAAGUUUCUUAAACAUAAAGAUUUGAUGACACUGUGUAUCAUGACUAUUUACUAUGUUCCAAGCAGUAUCCUAGGUACUCUUUUAUGCAUAUUAUGCUUAUUAACUCAUUUAAUACCCCCAAACAACCCUAGGAGGUGGACACUAUCACUAUCUCCAUACAACAGCUGAGGUGAGGUGUGGUCUGCUCAUGUGACACAGCUUACAGUGGUGGCAGAGUCCAGGGUAAACACCCAUGUAGCCUGGCUCUUGAUCUUAAUCCUGAGAGAGUAUAGAGCUGCAUUAAAUGUCCUCUUUACUCAGAACCCUCCCUGCUCCAAGCACUUGAUAAUAGUCAGUUUUCAAUUAUCUAAAUAGAUUUGGUCAAACUGUAGUUGGAGGAACCUGCAGGCCUUCCCUGAUGCUUACUCUGAGGCCAUUCUCUCUUCUGACUCUUCCAGGUAGAGGUCAGCAAUGAAGGUUAAUCAGCUCAUUACCACCCAUUUCCCAUCCCCAUUUCAGGGAGAAAAGCAGGAUCCCAGUACUUGUUGUUUGCCUUAAUCACACUAUCUCCAACCAUCGACUGCUCAGUAUUAACUGUAGUUCAAUUUUAACAUGAUUAUAACUUAGCGGGGGCUUCCUUCCCACCUACUAAAUGGUCCAGACUUAACUACAGCAGAUAUUGCUGCUGCAAAGAAGCUCAAAGAAAAGCAUCAUUAUAAGUAGAAGCAGGGGCAUAUGGUUACUUUCUGGAAGUAAAAACUUUAAACAUAAAAGAGACAGGAGAAGUCACUUAAAAGUAUUCCCC